This 492-nucleotide ribosomal RNA is filed under the name uncultured bacterium. Its description in RNAcentral is "partial 16S ribosomal RNA". It matches the Rfam family "Bacterial small subunit ribosomal RNA", at positions 29 to 507 of the family's 1533-position model. The record is from RNAcentral.
AGUGAACGCUGGCGGUAGGCCUAACACAUGCAAGUCGAACGGCAGCACAGUAAGAGCUUGCUCUUACGGGUGGCGAGUGGCGGACGGGUGAGGAAUACAUCGGAAUCUACUUUUUCGUGGGGGAUAACGUAGGAAAACUUACGCUAAUACCGCAUACGACCUACGGGUGAAAGCAGGGGAUCUUCGGACCUUGCGCGAUUGAAUGAGCCGAUGUCGGAUUAGCUAGUUGGCGGGGUAAAGGCCCACCAAGGCGACGAUCCGUAGCUGGUCUGAGAGGAUGAUAAGCCACACUGGAACUGAGACACGGUCCAGACUCCUACGGGAGGCAGCAGUGGGGAAUAUUGGACAAUGGGCGCAAGCCUGAUCCAGCCAUACCGCGUGGGUGAAGAAGGCCUUCGGGUUGUAAAGCCCUUUUGUUGGGAAAGAAAAGCAGCAGGUUAAUACCCCGCUGUUCUGACGGUACCCAAAGAAUAAGCACCGGCUAACUUCGUG